ACUACGGGUGGCAGCAGUGGGGGAUAUUGCACAAUGGGGGGAACCCUGAUGCAGCGACGCCGCGUGAGUGAAGAAGUAUUUCGGUAUGUAAAGCUCUAUCAGCAGGGAGGAAAAUGACAGUACCUGACCAAGAAGCCACGGCUAACUACGUGCCAGCAGCCGCGGUAAUACGGAGGGGGCAAGCGUUAUCCGGAUUUACUGGGUGUAAUGGGAGCGUAGGCGGUUAUGUAAGUCUGGAGUGAAAGCCCGGGGCUCAACCCCGGGACUGCUUUGGAAACUGUGUAGCUGGAGUACAGGAGGGGCAGGCGGAAUUCCUGGUGUAGCGGUGAAAUGCGUAGAUAGCAGGAGGAAUACCGGCGGCGAAGGCGGCCUGCUGGACUGAAACUGACGUUGAGGCUCGAAAGCGUGGGGAGCAAACAGGAUUAGAUACCCCUGUAGUC
Molecule: ribosomal RNA, 440 nt
Filed under: uncultured bacterium
Lineage: Bacteria
Description: partial 16S ribosomal RNA
Rfam family: Bacterial small subunit ribosomal RNA
Source: RNAcentral